GUUCACCACCUUGCUUUAAUUCCUAAUAACCGCUCCUUAACGGUGUGUCAUGGAUGCAUGAGUAUUUCUCCAAUAUUAGUUAAUGAGCAAACAGUUUAUGCUAGCCCAAUGUUGAAGUUUACCAUAUCAGCAGCUCUUGUGUCUCAUGGUUCAUAAACAAUGCAGGUACAAUUGUGCACUCAUUAUUCAUAAUUUGGCAUGGAAAGUAGGGCU
This 213-nucleotide unclassified non-coding RNA is filed under the name Hevea brasiliensis (rubber tree). The record is from RNAcentral. Lineage: Eukaryota; Viridiplantae; Streptophyta; Magnoliopsida; Malpighiales; Euphorbiaceae.